RNAcentral lists this ribosomal RNA (253 nucleotides) under uncultured bacterium. Its description in RNAcentral is "partial 16S ribosomal RNA". It matches the Rfam family "Bacterial small subunit ribosomal RNA", at positions 524 to 776 of the family's 1533-position model. The record is from RNAcentral.
UACAGAGGUGGCAAGCGUUGUUCGGAAUUACUGGGCGUAAAGGGCGCGUAGGCGGCCAUCUAAGUCAGACGUGAAAUCCCCCGGCUUAACCUGGGAACUGCGUCUGAUACUGGACGGCUCGAGUUUGGGAGAGGGAUGCAGAAUUCCAGGUGUAGCGGUGAAAUGCGUAGAUAUCUGGAGGAAUACCGGUGGCGAAGGCGGCAUCCUGGACCAACACUGACGCUGAGGCGCGAAAGCUAGGGGAGCGAACAGG